This 214-nucleotide ribosomal RNA is filed under the name Escherichia coli. RNAcentral's name for it is "partial 16S ribosomal RNA". It matches the Rfam family "Bacterial small subunit ribosomal RNA", at positions 1 to 214 of the family's 1533-position model. Lineage: Bacteria; Pseudomonadati; Pseudomonadota; Gammaproteobacteria; Enterobacterales; Enterobacteriaceae. The record is from RNAcentral.
AAAUUGAAGAGUUUGAUCAUGGCUCAGAUUGAACGCUGGCGGCAGGCCUAACACAUGCAAGUCGAACGGUAACAGGAAGCAGCUUGCUGCUUUGCUGACGAGUGGCGGACGGGUGAGUAAUGUCUGGGGAACUGCCUGAUGGAGGGGGGUAACUACUGGAAACGGUAGCUAAUAACGCAUAACGUCGCAAGACCAAAGAGGGGGACCUUAGGGC